Molecule: ribosomal RNA, 254 nt
Filed under: uncultured bacterium
Lineage: Bacteria
Description: partial 16S ribosomal RNA
Rfam family: Bacterial small subunit ribosomal RNA
Source: RNAcentral
GUCCACGCCGUAAACGAUGGAUACUAGCUGUUGGGGCAACUUCAGUGGCUAAGCGAAAGUGAUAAGUAUCCCACCUGGGGAGUACGGGCGCAAGCCUGAAACUCAAAGGAAUUGACGGGGCCCGCACAAGCGGUGGAGCAUGUGGUUUAAUUCGAUGAUACGCGAGGAACCUUACCAAGGCUUAAAUGUAGAUUGACCGAUUUUGGAAACAGAUCUUUCGCAAGACAAUUUACAAGGUGCUGCAUGGUUGUCGU